This is a long non-coding RNA of Bactrocera dorsalis (oriental fruit fly), 191 nucleotides long. RefSeq lists it as uncharacterized. NCBI's taxonomy places the organism in Eukaryota, Metazoa, Arthropoda, Insecta, Diptera, Tephritidae. The transcript has 2 exons. The record is from RefSeq and is a predicted model, not a curated record.
GUAAUUUUAGGUUAAGUUGAAAUUCUUUUCAUAACAUCGCUCGAAGUAUCACAAAGGGUUGCGAGGUGUUUACAUUGUCAAUUUUAUUUAGGAAUUUUCACUUCAACUGCAUAUUUGAGCUGUUUCUUAAAAUGUGACGAUAUAGACUGUUUGCAAACUGCUCAAUGCAGCACCAGUGUUUGACGAAAACG